Molecule: ribosomal RNA, 466 nt
Filed under: uncultured bacterium
Lineage: Bacteria
Description: partial 16S ribosomal RNA
Rfam family: Bacterial small subunit ribosomal RNA
Source: RNAcentral
GACGAACGCUGGCGGCGUGCUUAACACAUGCAAGUCGAACGGAAAGGCCCUGCUUGCAGGGUACUCGAGUGGCGAACGGGUGAGUAACACGUGGGUGAUCUGCCCUGCACUUCGGGAUAAGCCUGGGAAACUGGGUCUAAUACCGGAUAGGAGCCAUUUUUAGUGUGAUGGUUGGAAAGUUUUUUUCGGUGUAGGAUGGGCUCGCGGCCUAUCAGCUUGUUGGUGGGGUAAUGGCCUACCAAGGCGGCGACGGGUAGCCGGCCUGAGAGGGUGGACGGCCACAUUGGGACUGAGAUACGGCCCAGACUCCUACGGGAGGCAGCAGUGGGGAAUAUUGCACAAUGGGCGCAAGCCUGAUGCAGCGACGCCGCGUGGGGGAUGACGGCCUUCGGGUUGUAAACUCCUUUCGCUAGGGACGAAGCUUUUUGUGACGGUACCUAGAUAAGAAGCACCGGCUAACUACGUG